UGAGAUCAACUCAUCUAAUGGAUCACACACACUCCCUGAUAAUUUAGAAUUAUGGGUCAAAGCUACUAACGGAAAAAACAAAGGUCGUGUGCUUGGAACCAGAGCAAGUGAUCCAAUGCCAUUACCAAUUCCUGAUAAUAUGGCGACUUCACAGAACACAACGACGAAUUAUAUAGAAAUUCAACAACAAAAAAGUAAAGAAGACUUUGAUCGGGCAGUUCAAGAGGCCAUUAGAAAACAGAUGCCGGAUAUACUAAAGGAACUAAGGGAAGACUUACGUCGAGAGACGAUUGAGGUAAUUAGCAUAUAAAUCAAUAUUCAUAUUUUCUUUAUAAUUUCAAUUUUUUUUACAUUAGGGUCAGUCGAGCCAAGGACACGACAACAUAAUCACGCCUACUACAAGAGAUUCAAAUGUCGAAAAUGUUGGCAAAAAAGCGACUCAAAGUCCGACUAAAAGUG
This 459-nucleotide long non-coding RNA is filed under the name Zostera marina. RNAcentral describes it as "long non-coding RNA (ZMAR_LNC003631)". The record is from RNAcentral. Lineage: Eukaryota; Viridiplantae; Streptophyta; Magnoliopsida; Alismatales; Zosteraceae.